Molecule: unclassified non-coding RNA, 253 nt
Filed under: plant metagenome
Description: partial contains small subunit ribosomal RNA, internal transcribed spacer 1, and 5.8S ribosomal RNA
Rfam family: Eukaryotic small subunit ribosomal RNA (bases 1-54)
Source: RNAcentral
GGAAGUAAAAGUCGUAACGAGGUCUCCGUUGGUGAACCAGCGGAGGGAUCAUUACAGAGUUGCAAAACUCCCAAACCAUUGUGAACGUUACCUAUCCCGUUGCUUCGGCGGGCGGCCCGGGCCCCGCGCCCGGCGCCCCCCGGCCCCCCGUGGGCGCCCGCCGGAGGUAAACCAAACCCUUGAAUUGCAUGGCCUCUCUGAGUCUUCUGUACUGAAUAAGUCAAAACUUUCAACAACGGAUCUCUUGGUUCUG